RNAcentral lists this unclassified non-coding RNA (517 nucleotides) under Melitaea cinxia (Glanville fritillary). RNAcentral describes it as "misc RNA ENSMCXG00005010147.1". Lineage: Eukaryota; Metazoa; Arthropoda; Insecta; Lepidoptera; Nymphalidae. The record is from RNAcentral.
UAAUAAUAAUAAUAAUAAGCCCAACAAGGUCCGAGCCUAUAACGCCUGGGUCAUGCCCACUCUCUUGUACACCUUUGGCAUACUCAGAUGGACUCAGACCGAAAUUGACGCCCUGGAUAGAAGAGUCCGCACAAAUAUGACGCACAAUCGCGUGCAUCACCCGAAGUCGUCGGUCAUGAGACUGUACAUCCCGCGGAAGUGUGGUGGUCGAGGCAUGUUAAGCGCUAAGACCAUGCAUAACCGCGAGGUGUGCAGCCUCAGGGCCUACUUUGAAACGAGACGGGACAGCGCCUUGCAUGAUGACGUUAUAGUGUGUGACAAAGGACUGACCCCCCCUAUCCUUGGCCAAAGAGAAUUGGCAGAGACCGGUCGUACUGUGCACCUCUGACCGGGAGACCGUAUGGAUGGAGAAGGAGCUGCAUGGACGGUUCUACAAGGCGCUUCACGCACCUCACGUGGACAGUAAGGCCUCCGUGCAGUGGCUGCGAUUCGGUGACCUCUUUGGGGAAACCGAAGG